This 497-nucleotide ribosomal RNA is filed under the name uncultured bacterium. RNAcentral describes it as "partial 16S ribosomal RNA". It matches the Rfam family "Bacterial small subunit ribosomal RNA", at positions 28 to 507 of the family's 1533-position model. The record is from RNAcentral.
GAUGGACGCUGGCGGCGUGCCUAAUACAUGCAAGUCGAGCGAACGGACGAGAAGCUUGCUUCUCUGAUGUUAGCGGCGGACGGGUGAGUAACACGUGGAUAACCUACCUAUAAGACUGGGAUAACUUCGGGAAACCGUAGCUAAUACCGGAUAAUAUUUUGAACCGCAUGGUUCAAACGUGAAAGACGGUCUUGCUGUCACUUAUAGAUGGAUCCGCGCUGCAUUAGCUAGUUGGUAAGGUAACGGCUUACCAAGGCAACGAUGCAUAGCCGACCUGAGAGGGUGAUCGGCCACACUGGAACUGAGACACGGUCCAGACUCCUACGGGAGGCAGCAGUAGGGAAUCUUCCGCAAUGGGCGAAAGCCUGACGGAGCAACGCCGCGGGAGUGAUGAAGGUCUUCGGAUCGGAAAACUCUGUUAUUAGGGAAGAACAUAUGUGUAAGUAACUGUGCACAUCUUGACGGUACCUAAUCAGAAAGCCACGGCUAACUACGUG